This 881-nucleotide ribosomal RNA is filed under the name Sunxiuqinia sp. RNAcentral describes it as "bacterial SSU rRNA". It matches the Rfam family "Bacterial small subunit ribosomal RNA", at positions 70 to 951 of the family's 1533-position model. The record is from RNAcentral. Lineage: Bacteria; Pseudomonadati; Bacteroidota; Bacteroidia; Marinilabiliales; Prolixibacteraceae.
UAACAUUGUCUUCGGACAGAUGACGACCGGCGCACGGGUGAGUAACGCGUAUGCAACCUGCCUUUGACAGAGGAAUAGCCCGGAGAAAUCCGGAUUAAUACCUCAUGGUAUUUAAGACUCGCAUGGGUUUUAAAUUAAAGAUUUAUCGGUCAAAGAUGGGCAUGCGUGACAUUAGCUAGUUGGUAAGGUAACGGCUUACCAAGGCUACGAUGUCUAGGGGUUCUGAGAGGAUGAUCCCCCACACUGGUACUGAGACACGGACCAGACUCCUACGGGAGGCAGCAGUGAGGAAUAUUGGUCAAUGGGCGCAAGCCUGAACCAGCCAUCCCGCGUGAAGGAAGACGGCCCUAUGGGUUGUAAACUUCUUUUCUGCACCAAGAAUGGACAUUACGUGUAGUGUUUUGACGGUAGUGCAGGAAUAAGCAUCGGCUAACUCCGUGCCAGCAGCCGCGGUAAUACGGAGGAUGCAAGCGUUAUCCGGAUUUAUUGGGUUUAAAGGGUACGUAGGUGGCCUUGUAAGUCAGUGGUGAAAUCCUGCCGCUUAACGGUAGAACUGCCAUUGAUACUGCAGGGCUUGAGUACAGUUGAGGUAGGCGGAAUGUGUAGUGUAGCGGUGAAAUGCUUAGAUAUUACACAGAACCCCGAUUGCGAAGGCAGCUUACUAAACUGUAACUGACACUGAGGUACGAAAGCGUGGGGAGCGAACAGGAUUAGAUACCCUGGUAGUCCACGCCGUAAACGAUGCUCACUCGCUGUAUGCGAUACACAGUAUGCGGCCAAGCGAAAGUCUUAAGUGAGCCACCUGGGGAGUACGUUGGCAACAGUGAAACUCAAAGGAAUUGACGGGGGCCCGCACAAGCGGAGGAACAUGUGGUUUAAUU